This 440-nucleotide ribosomal RNA is filed under the name uncultured bacterium. RNAcentral's name for it is "partial 16S ribosomal RNA". It matches the Rfam family "Bacterial small subunit ribosomal RNA", at positions 338 to 795 of the family's 1533-position model. The record is from RNAcentral.
CCUACGGGGGGCAGCAGUGGGGAAUAUUGCACAAUGGGGGAAACCCUGAUGCAGCGACGCCGCGUGAGUGAAGAAGUAUUUCGGUACGUAAAGCUCUAUCAGCAGGGACGAAAAUGACGGUACCUGAAUAAGAAGCCACGGAUAACUACGGGCCAGCAGCCGACGUAAUACGUAGGGGGCAAGCGUUAUCCGGAUUUACUGGGUGUAAAGGGAGCGUAGACGGCAGCGAAAGUCUGAUGUGAAAUCCCAUGGCUUAACCAUGGAACUGCUUUGGAAACUGUGCAGCUGGAGUGCAGGAGAGGUAAGCGGAAUUCCUGGUGUAGCGGUGAAAUGCGUAGAUAGUAGGAGGAACACCAGUGGCGAAGGCGGCUUACUGGACUGUAACUGACGUUGAGGCUCGAAAGCGUGGGGAGCAAACAGGAUUAGAUACCCGAGUAGUC